CACGUAGGGCGCAAGCGUUGUCCGGAAUUAUUGGGCGUAAAGAGCUCGUAGGCGGUCUGUUGCGUCCGCUGUGAAAACUCGGGGCUUAACCCCGAGCCUGCAGUGGAUACGGGCAGACUAGAGGUAGGUAGGGGAGAAUGGAAUUCCCGGUGUAGCGGUGAAAUGCGCAGAUAUCGGGAGGAACACCAGUGGCGAAGGCGGUUGCCUGGGGCUUUGCUGACGCUGAUGCGCGAAAGCGUGGGGAGCGAUCCGG
RNAcentral lists this ribosomal RNA (253 nucleotides) under uncultured bacterium. RNAcentral's name for it is "partial 16S ribosomal RNA". It matches the Rfam family "Bacterial small subunit ribosomal RNA", at positions 524 to 776 of the family's 1533-position model. The record is from RNAcentral.